This 89-nucleotide unclassified non-coding RNA is filed under the name Pseudomonas brassicacearum. The record is from RNAcentral. Lineage: Bacteria; Pseudomonadati; Pseudomonadota; Gammaproteobacteria; Pseudomonadales; Pseudomonadaceae.
UGUGGGAGCGAGCCUGCUCGCGAUGAGGCCAGCACAUCCAACAUUACCGUCUCAGGCAGACCGCCAUCGCGAGCAGGCUCGCUCCCACA